Molecule: long non-coding RNA, 656 nt
Filed under: Elaeis guineensis (African oil palm)
Lineage: Eukaryota; Viridiplantae; Streptophyta; Magnoliopsida; Arecales; Arecaceae
Description: long non-coding RNA (EGUI_LNC026373)
Source: RNAcentral
UUCGGUGGUGGUGGCUUGUAUAUUGGAGGUGGUGGAGAUUUGCAUGGCUUUGGUGGAGAACUUUUAUAUUUUGGAGGUGGUAGCAAUGGUGGAGGCUUGUAUGGCUUCGGAGGCAAAGGUUUAUAUUUUGGUAAUGGCGGAUUAUAUGUUGGUGGUGUAGUAGAUGGAGGCUUGCGCGUCUUCGGAGGCGAAGGUAUAUAUUUGGGUGGUGGUGAUUUUAAUAUUUGUGGUGGCGCUAGUGGAGGCUUGCAUGGCUUCGGAGGCGAAGGUACAUAUUUUGGUGGUGGUGACUUAUAUAUUAGUGGUGGCGCUGGUGGAGCCUUGCGUGGCUUCGGAGGCGAAGGCACAUAUUUCGGUGGAGGUGGCGCUAGUGGAGGCUUGCAUGGCUUUGGAGGCGAAGGCAUAUAUUUCGGUGGAGGUGGCGCUAGUGGAGGCUUGCAUGGCUUCGGAGGCGAAGGCAUAUAUUUCGGUGGAGGCGGCGAUGGACACAUGUAAGGUGGUGGUGACGGUGGUGGAGGCUUGCAUGGCUUUGGCGGCGGCGAUGGACACUUGUAAGGUGGUGGUGACGGUGGUGGAGGCUUAUAUAUAGGUGGCUCGUUCUUUAGUGGUGGUGGUGGAAACGUAUACUUGUAUGGUGGUGUUUUUGGAGGCUCUGG